This 421-nucleotide long non-coding RNA is filed under the name Ananas comosus (pineapple). RNAcentral's name for it is "long non-coding RNA (ACOM_LNC007044)". Lineage: Eukaryota; Viridiplantae; Streptophyta; Magnoliopsida; Poales; Bromeliaceae. The record is from RNAcentral.
UGGGACGGUAAGUGGAAAUAAAAAAUAUAGAAAAAUAUAACUAGCUUCGAACCCGUCCCGAUCCACCAAAUAAAUGCAGUGGAAGGUAGAAAACUCUUUUCUUCCUUCAAUAUGCGCUCCAAUCCGUCAAAAAUUUGUUAAAAAUCCGGUCCCGCCCCAAUCCACCCCAAACGGAGCGGUAAUUGAGAGCCAAAAAUGAAAUAAAAAAUAACCUGUCUCGAAUCUGCUUCGCCUCGAUAAGAAAUGGAGUGGAAGAUAGAGGACACUCCCGCUCCCUCCCGCUCCGUGAUCCAUCUCGUUUGCAUCCCUAAAUAUAUAUGCUUAUCAAUAGAGAUUGAUAUUAUACACUAUCGUGUACCAAAAAUUAUGAUAGAUACCAGAUUUAAAUGUAGUAUUUGGUCUACUAAAAUCAAACUCUUAU